RNAcentral lists this ribosomal RNA (278 nucleotides) under Amaricoccus sp. HAR-UPW-R2A-40. Its description in RNAcentral is "Bacterial large subunit ribosomal RNA". It matches the Rfam family "Bacterial large subunit ribosomal RNA", at positions 187 to 520 of the family's 2925-position model. Lineage: Bacteria; Pseudomonadati; Pseudomonadota; Alphaproteobacteria; Rhodobacterales; Paracoccaceae. The record is from Rfam by way of RNAcentral.
GGGGAACUGAAACAUCUCAGUACCCGCAGGAAAGGAAAUCAACCGAUACUCCGUCAGUAGCGGCGAGCGAACGCGGACCAGCCGAGCCCUGAGAGGUAGCAGAACCAGUUGGGAAACUGGGCGACAUGGGUGAUAGCCCCGUAUGCGAAAACUCGAUGGGCCACAUUAAGUAGGGCGGGACACGUGAAAUCCUGUCUGAAGAUCGGGGGACCACCCUCGAAGGCUAAGUACUCCUUGCUGACCGAUAGCGCACUAGUACCGUGAGGGAAAGGUGAAAA